CGGGAAGUAGCUCAGCUUGGUAGAGCACAUGGUUUGGGACCAUGUGGUCGCAGGUUCAAAUCCUGUCUUCCCGACCA
Molecule: transfer RNA, 77 nt
Filed under: Lentibacillus amyloliquefaciens
Lineage: Bacteria; Bacillati; Bacillota; Bacilli; Caryophanales; Bacillaceae
Description: tRNA-Pro
Rfam family: tRNA
About the family: Transfer RNA (tRNA) molecules are approximately 80 nucleotides in length. Their secondary structure includes four short double-helical elements and three loops (D, anti-codon, and T loops). Further hydrogen bonds mediate the characteristic L-shaped molecular structure. tRNAs have two regions of fundamental functional importance: the anti-codon, which is responsible for specific mRNA codon recognition, and the 3' end, to which the tRNAs corresponding amino acid is attached (by aminoacyl-tRNA synthetases). tRNAs cope with the degeneracy of the genetic code in two manners: having more than one tRNA (with a specific anti-codon) for a particular amino acid; and 'wobble' base-pairing, i.e. permitting non-standard base-pairing at the 3rd anti-codon position.
Source: RNAcentral